UACAGAGGGUGCAAGCGUUGCUCGGAAUCAUUGGGCGUAAAGGGCAGGUAGGUGGUCUGAUGUGUCUGGCGGGAAAAGCCUUGGGCUUAACCCAAGAAGUGCCCCGGAAACGGUCAGACUUUGAGUCUUGGAGAGGGUUGCGGAAUUCCCGGUGUAGCGGUGAAAUGCGUAGAGAUCGGGAGGAACACCAGCGGCGAAGGCGGCACCCUGGACAAGCACUGACACUCAGCUGCGAAAGCGUGGGGAGCAAACAGG
This 255-nucleotide ribosomal RNA is filed under the name uncultured bacterium. RNAcentral describes it as "partial 16S ribosomal RNA". It matches the Rfam family "Bacterial small subunit ribosomal RNA", at positions 524 to 776 of the family's 1533-position model. The record is from RNAcentral.